GGGGAAUAUUGCGCAAUGGGGGAAACCCUGACGCAGCAACGCCGCGUGCGGGAUGAAGGCCUUCGGGUUGUAAACCGCUUUCAGCAGGGACGAAGGGUUUCUGACGGUACCUGCAGAAGAAGCACCGGCUAACUACGUGCCAGCAGCCGCGGUGAUACGUAGGGUGCGAGCGUUGUCCGGAAUUAUUGGGCGUAAAGAGCUUGUAGGCGGUCCGUCACGUCGGAAGUGAAAACUCAGGGCUUAACCCUGAGCCUGCUUUCGAUACGGGCAGACUUGAGGGAUGUAGGGGAGAACGGAAUUCCUGGUGGAGCGGUGGAAUGCGCAGAUAUCAGGAGGAACACCAGUGGCGAAGGCGGGUCUCUGAGCCGUAACUGACGCUGAGGAGCGAAAGCGUGGGGAGCGAACA
Molecule: ribosomal RNA, 406 nt
Filed under: uncultured Propionibacteriaceae bacterium
Lineage: Bacteria; Bacillati; Actinomycetota; Actinomycetes; Propionibacteriales; Propionibacteriaceae
Description: bacterial SSU rRNA
Rfam family: Bacterial small subunit ribosomal RNA
Source: RNAcentral